RNAcentral lists this ribosomal RNA (492 nucleotides) under uncultured bacterium. RNAcentral describes it as "partial 16S ribosomal RNA". It matches the Rfam family "Bacterial small subunit ribosomal RNA", at positions 29 to 507 of the family's 1533-position model. The record is from RNAcentral.
AGUGAACGCUGGCGGUAGGCCUAACACAUGCAAGUCGAACGGCAGCACAGUAAGAGCUUGCUCUUACGGGUGGCGAGUGGCGGACGGGUGAGGAAUACAUCGGAGUCUACUUUUUCGUGGGGGAUAACGUAGGGAAACUUACGCUAAUACCGCAUACGACCUACGGGUGAAAGCAGGGGGUCUUCGGACCUUGCGCGAUUGAAUGAGCCGAUGUCGGAUUAGCUAGUUGGCGGGGUAAAGGCCCACCAAGGCGACGAUCCGUAGCUGGUCUGAGAGGAUGAUCAGCCACACUGGAACUGAGACACGGUCCAGACUCCUACGGGAGGCAGCAGUGGGGAAUAUUGGACAAUGGGCGCAAGCCUGAUCCAGCCAUACCGCGUGGGUGAAGAAGGCCUUCGGGUUGUAAAGCCCUUUUGUUGGGAAAGAAAAGCAGCAGGUUAAUACCCCGCUGUUCUGACGGUACCCAAAGAAUAAGCACCGGCUAACUUCGUG